Molecule: ribosomal RNA, 254 nt
Filed under: uncultured bacterium
Lineage: Bacteria
Description: partial 16S ribosomal RNA
Rfam family: Bacterial small subunit ribosomal RNA
Source: RNAcentral
UACGUAGGGGGGCUAGCGUUGUCCGGAAUCAUUGGGCGUAAAGAGCGUGUAGGCGGCUAUACAGGUCCGCUGUGAAAACUCGAGGCUCAACCUCGAGACGUCGGUGGAAACCGUAUGGCUAGAGUCCGGAAGAGGCGAGUGGAAUUCCUGGUGUAGCGGUGGAAUGCGCAGAUAUCAGGAGGAACACCAAUAGCGAAGGCAGCUCGCUGGGACGUUACUGACACUGAGGCGCGAAAGCGUGGGGAGCGAACAGG